GGGACGGACUUACCCUCCACUGUGAGAGUUACCUAAAGCUUGGCAUCUGUGAUGGUCUACAGGGCUUCUGAGGCAAUCAGGCAGCGUCAGUCUUCAGCCGCUAAGCCGAGAAGAUCUGGGAAGGAGUCAGUCAGAGAGCCUUGGGCCAGAGUUCCAGGGUCUCUGGGAGUGGCUGCCAGAUUCUGAAGGAAACAGACAGCACAACAACAACAGCCUCUCUCAGUCCUCACCCAAAUCUUUCUUCUGAAAUUGGAUGCUGAUGGCCACCAAACACGUUUUUAAAAGACCAGUGCAGUUUGAAGAACAGAGUCUUACUCCGUUGCCCAGGCUGGAGUACAAUGGUGCGAUCUUUGCUCACUGCAACAUCCACCUCAUGGGCUCAAGCGAUUCUCCUGCCUCAGCCUCCUGAGUAGCUGGGACUACAGAUGUAGGCGAAUAACAUGAACAUUGCUUCAUCUUUGUUCCACAAGUUUCUGAGACAGCACCGGAAACAUGUGGAAUUAACAACGUGGACACCUUAUGUGGCACAGCUGUUACGCUUUGAGGAAAGGCGAUUGCUGGUAAGUUCUUCAGGAAGAAACACCUUCAAAAUGGAAAACAGCUGACAUCAAUUAACUUCUGGCUUUUCUGUAAUUUUGUAUGCUGGCCUAUAAUCGUAAAGUAGCAAACAUUUUCAGGUACUGCAACACAUCACUCCGUCAAAACAUAUUACUCCACAAUGAUACAUACAAACUAUGAACGCAGUCAGAAUGAUUUUAUUGAAAUGUUUUAGUACAGUGUUAGAGGAUCUUAAAAU
RNAcentral lists this long non-coding RNA (796 nucleotides) under Homo sapiens (human). RNAcentral describes it as "HSALNT0280230". The record is from RNAcentral. Lineage: Eukaryota; Metazoa; Chordata; Mammalia; Primates; Hominidae.